This 719-nucleotide long non-coding RNA is filed under the name Phoenix dactylifera (date palm). RNAcentral's name for it is "long non-coding RNA (PDAC_LNC018981)". Lineage: Eukaryota; Viridiplantae; Streptophyta; Magnoliopsida; Arecales; Arecaceae. The record is from RNAcentral.
UAACUCGAUAAAUUUUGAUGGCAUUAUUUAACUGUAGUCACAAUAAAUUCAACUUAAGUGGUCAUGCAUUCAAUUCUUUUAUUAUUCUGUAAAUCAUUCUCCAUUCGUGGCAUUAUUUUAACUCGAUAAAUUUUGAUGGCAUUAGUUUAACCUAGUCACAAUAAAUUCAACUUAAUCGGCAUUAACAGAUGGUCAUGCAUUCAUUUCUUUGUACUUUUCUGUAAAUUAUUCUCCAUUCAUGGCAUUAUUUUAACUCUAGUCACAAUAAAUUCAACUUAACUAGCAUUAACUGUUGGUCAUGCCUUCAUUGCAUUAAGUGACGGUCAUACAUUCAUUUCUUUUUAUUAUUUUGUAACUCAUUCUCCAUUCAUGGCAUUAUUCUAACUCCAGAUAAAUUUAACUUGAUUAGCAUUAACUGACGGUCAUGCAUUCGUUUCUUUUUAUUAUUCCGUAAAUCAUUUUCCAUUGAUGGCAUUAUUAUAACUCUAGUCAUGAUAAAUUCAACUUAAUUAGCAUUAACUGAUGGUCAUGCAUUCAUUUCUUUUUGUUGUGAAACUCACAGUAUGCAAAUGGCUGAAAUCAUAUCCUUGUGCUAGGGCACAAUAUAUUCUUCUGAACAAGAUUCAAAUAACUUCUUUCCUGAAGUUAUUUGUGGGAGCCCGUGAUGGUUCUUUUCAGAUAUGUAAGGAAAUAUUUUCUUUAAUGACCCUUCGAAAAUC